Molecule: microRNA precursor, 83 nt
Filed under: Otolemur garnettii (small-eared galago)
Lineage: Eukaryota; Metazoa; Chordata; Mammalia; Primates; Galagidae
Description: miRNA (ENSOGAG00000034875.1)
Source: RNAcentral
AUAUAUAUGUAUAUAUGUAUGUGUGUGUGUGUGUGUGUGUGUGUGUAUAAUACACAUAUACAUACAUACAUACAAUGGUUGUA